This 275-nucleotide ribosomal RNA is filed under the name uncultured bacterium. Its description in RNAcentral is "partial 16S ribosomal RNA". It matches the Rfam family "Bacterial small subunit ribosomal RNA", at positions 338 to 604 of the family's 1533-position model. The record is from RNAcentral.
CCUACGGGGGGCUGCAGUGGGGAAUCUUGCGCAAUGAGCGAAAGCUUGACGCAGCAACGCCGCGUGGGCGAAGAAGGCCUUCGGGUCGUAAAGCCCUGUCGGAGGGGACGAAACCUUUUUUGGCUAACAUCCAAGAAAAUUGACGGUACCCUCAAAGGAAGCACCGGCUAACCACGUGCCAGCAGCCGCGGUAAUACGUGGGGUGCAAGCGUUGUUCGGAAUUACUGGGCGUAAAGCGCGUGUAGGUGGCCAAGCGGGUCAGAUGUGAAAGCCCU